This 485-nucleotide ribosomal RNA is filed under the name uncultured bacterium. Its description in RNAcentral is "bacterial SSU rRNA". It matches the Rfam family "Bacterial small subunit ribosomal RNA", at positions 59 to 518 of the family's 1533-position model. The record is from RNAcentral.
AAGCGGACAAUCGACCCUUCGGGGGUGUGCGGUCCGUGGAACGAGCGGCGGAUGGGUGAGUAUCACGUGGGCAACCUGCCGUGUAAGAUUGGGAUAACUCGCGGAAACGUGAGCUAAUACCGAAUGAAGUCUUUCACCGCCUGGUGAAAGGAUGAAAGAUGGCUCUUGAGCUAUCACUUACAGAUGGGCCCGCGGCGCAUUAGCUAGUUGGUGGGGUAAAGGCCUACCAAGGCGACGAUGCGUAGCCGACCUGAGAGGUGAUCGGCCACACUGGGACUGAGACACGGCCCAGACUCCUACGGGAGGCAGCAGUAGGGAAUCUUCCGCAAUGGACGAAAGUCUGACGGAGCAACGCCGCGUGAGUGAAUGAAGGUCUUCGGAUCGUAAAACUCUGUUGUCAGGGAAGAACAAGUUGUGUUCUAACAGGACAUGACCUUGACGGUACCUGACCAGAAAGCCCCGGCUAACUACGUGCCAGCAGCAGC